GAUGAACGCUGGCGGCGUGCCUAAUACAUGCAAGUCGAGCGAACGGACGAGAAGCUUGCUUCUCUGAUGUUAGCGGCGGACGGGUGAGUAACACGUGGAUAACCUACCUAUAAGACUGGGAUGACUUCGGGAAACCGGAGCUAAUACCGGAUAAUAUUUUGAACCGCAUGGUUCAAAAGUGAAAGACGGUCUUGCUGUCACUUAUAGAUGGAUCCGCGCUGCAUUAGCUAGUUGGUAAGGUAACGGCUUACCAAGGCAACGAUGCAUAGCCGACCUGAGAGGGUGAUCGGCCACACUGGAACUGAGACACGGUCCAGACUCCUACGGGAGGAAGCAGUAGGGAAUCUUCCGCAAUGGGCGAAAGCCUAACGGAGCAACGCCGCGUGAGUGAUGAAGGUCUUCGGAUCGUAAAACUCUGUUAUUAGGGAAGAACAUAUGUGUAAGUAACUGUGCACAUCUUGACGGUACCUAGUCAGAAAGCCACGGCUAACUACGUG
Molecule: ribosomal RNA, 497 nt
Filed under: uncultured bacterium
Lineage: Bacteria
Description: partial 16S ribosomal RNA
Rfam family: Bacterial small subunit ribosomal RNA
Source: RNAcentral